RNAcentral lists this ribosomal RNA (260 nucleotides) under uncultured dinoflagellate. Its description in RNAcentral is "partial 18S ribosomal RNA". The stretch from base 94 to 260 matches the Rfam family "Eukaryotic small subunit ribosomal RNA", at positions 735 to 903 of the family's 1831-position model. The record is from RNAcentral. Lineage: Eukaryota; Dinophyceae.
UUUCUGCCGAGGAUGACCGGUCCGCCCUCUGGGUGAGUAUCUGGCUCAGCCUGGGCAUCCUCUUGGGGAACGUAGCUGCACUUGACUGUGUGGUGCGGUAUCCAGGACUUUUACUUUGAGGAAAUUAGAGUGUUUCAAGCAGGCUUACGCCUUGAAUACAUUAGCAUGGAAUAAUAAGAUAGGACCUUGGUUCUAUUUUGUUGGUUUCUAGAGCUGAGGUAAUGAUUAAUAGGGAUAGUUGGGGGCAUUCGUAUUUAACU